GCACAGGUGGCUGUCUCUGAGGUUUGUGUAGGGGGAUUGGCGGUUUCUGGAUCCUUCCUCCAUGAUUUUCAGCACAGGGGAGCUCUCCUUUCUGCAGUGUGGAGGAGCGCUGGGCAGGAGGCGGCGCUGAGGUAACUGGUCGCCACUGCCCAGUCAGCCCCCCAUGAGGUCCAGCCCGAGGUGGGCAGCACUUUGUGCUCGGGGCCUGUCCAGCAGGCUCCACAUAAUGGGCUCAAAACGUCUGGUCCAGUGGUUAAAAGCUGUUCACAGGGGUGACUGGACCCCACUAAGCAUUCUUUCGUCUGUAGUGAAUAUUUCACCAAAAACAGCUCUAGGAAAGGCUGGAGGAUCAGUACUAUGUGCUCAAGCCAUGGCCACGCCCUCUAUCUUCCACCUGACUGAGACGGGGGGGGGGCUGAAGGCCACAGCCACCCCAGGAGAAAAGACAUCAGGAAGGCCACCGGGGGCCUGAGGAACAUGCGCGUGAAGCAGAUGCGAAAGGAGCUGCAGGUUCAUUGUGGGCCUUGAGGGAAAAGCUGAGGGCCCAGCCGUGGUCCCGCAAGUGGAAGUAACCCGCUCUGCAGGGUGAACACGCACCCAGUGCCGCCCAGGGAGCUGCCAGUCAGGAUUGGGCGCAGUCUCUGGAAGGAACUCCAGGAGACAGUGUGGCCUCCACAGCAUUAGGCAGCCAAGGAGAUGCAAACAAGUCUGCUGUAGAUGCUGGCGAUGAGACCCCCUCUUCCCAGCCAGGGCCUGCUGGGUAAGAGUGGCAUUUCCGUGGGUGACUUUAUCCCUCAGGAUCGGGGCGUGCAGAUUUAUUGGCUGGCUUCCUUCUUACAGUUUCUUCUCAGAGCACACUCAAGAGAGGCCAUCUGUCCCUUGAGAGGCUGUUGACCAAAAGAGGCUGAAGAAGGAUGUGGAGCCCAGCUGCAGCGGGACCAGCCUGGGGCCUGAUGAGAGCUUGGCCCAGAGCCCCCAAGUUCAUCAUUCACAAUGAUGCCUCAGAAACCCUCCCAGAGCCCCUCCACCCUCCGACGGAUGUCACCCUGAAGCCAGCCGCAGAAGCUGUGCGGGGCGAGAACAGCGACACCAGCCCUCCGUCCCUCAGCGGGGUCAUCCUGUCAGCACUGGGGGCCCAAGAUCUCCUCGACUGCUGCACUCCUAUUGCUUCUGCUCCCGGGGGAACAGGAGCACGGGUGCCGCCUGCGGGAGCAGGUGGAGAAGAACGGCCAGCUGAAGAGGGGCAGCCGCCGACAGCCAGGUGCACAAGCUGCAGGAGGAGCUGGACGAGCUGAAGGGAGGGGGCUCCCUGCCUUAGCAGCCUGGUGCCCCCCGCCGAGGUCAGUCCCGGGGCUCGGGGCUCCCCCACUGCCUGCUCAUCAUGAGGGGUUUCCUGCUCCGCAGCAGACGGCCCCUGAGCACUUCUGUGUGCAGCAUGCCUGCUGCUGUCUUGGGAGAAGGCUCUGCUGGUAGCCGCCCCUCGUAGACAGGGAGCCCAGGUUGCAGAGCUCACUCCGCUCGCUUUAGGGCGCUCGAGAGGCAGUGGUAGUUGUCAGGGUUUAGCAGGUGGGGAAGGAGGCAUUGCAGGUC
Diceros bicornis minor is the source of this 1590-nucleotide long non-coding RNA. RefSeq lists it as uncharacterized. The record is from RefSeq and is a predicted model, not a curated record. Lineage: Eukaryota; Metazoa; Chordata; Mammalia; Perissodactyla; Rhinocerotidae. The transcript has 3 exons.